This is an RNA transcript of Passer montanus (Eurasian tree sparrow), 5238 nucleotides long. It is a transcript of the gene named ArfGAP with RhoGAP domain, ankyrin repeat and PH domain 1, with no coding region annotated. The record is from RefSeq and is a predicted model, not a curated record. NCBI's taxonomy places the organism in Eukaryota, Metazoa, Chordata, Aves, Passeriformes, Passeridae. The transcript is spliced from 35 exons.
GCUCACGGCUCCGCUCGGCUUUCCGGAAAGUUCCCAUUGCUGAGGCGGCGUUUGAGGAAGUCCUGGGGCGGGCAGAGACCCCUUGGCAAACCUCCACCGCGCCGGCUGGACCACAGGCAGGCUGGCCGCCUCCUUCUGCUGAGCCGAGGGACCCUGUGCUGCUGGUCCUGAUGUCAUCCUGAGCCUUGCUGGCAACAGAAGAUGCACUGAGUGGUGCAGGUUUCUGUGGCCAGCCCCCUGCCAUGGAGGAGGAGGGAUCUCUGCCGGUGGCCGCCUGGCUUUCCGCCUUCCACCUCGACCAGUAUGUGGAGAACUUCCAGCAAAACGGGCUGUGCUCAGUGUGGGACUGCCGGGCUCUGACGGACGAGGGGCUCACCCGCCUUGGGGUGCUGCUGCCCGGCCACCGCCGCCGCAUCCUCCUGGGGCUGCAGAAAGCCUUUGCUGAGGCCCCACUGCCUGCUGGGACCCACCAGCCCCCUGCCACCAAACCUGUCCCCAUGAAACGCCACAUCUUCCGCCUGGGCACUGCAGCAGGGCCGGAGCAGCUGGAGCCCCGGGGCCCGCCAGUGCCCGGUGGGACCCCACUGCUGGAGCCAGACAGGGCUGCAAGCUUCACCCCGCUGCCCCCACCCAUCCCACCGAGGGUGGGCUGCCGCCCUCCCCUCAAAUUCUCAGCACCACUAUCGGGGGACAGCCCCGAGCCACCCCCUGCAUCCUGCAGCCAUCUCCCAGCCCUGGAGGACCCCUCUCCACCGGCCCCUGGGGCGAGACCCCCAUUGCCGCCACUGCCGGCCAAGCGACACCAACUGGAAACCAAGUGCCAGAGCCUGAAGAGCCCCCCACUGCCUGACCGUCCCCCCGUGCUGCCCCCCAGGGCUGUGUCCCAGAGGAGCAUCCCUGUGAAGGAGGAGGUGCCCAUCCCUGAAAGGGCACCCGGUGUCACUCUGCCCUCCCAGCUUCCCCCGCCUCGCACCAGGGCGCCAGCGCCGCCGCCACCACCACUGCCCUCCAAGGCCACCCUUCCCUUCGUGCCAGAGUUUGAUGACUCAGACUACGAGGACUCGGCGUGGGAGGAGGAACUAGCCAGACCGACGGGGGAGAUGGCCAAGGAGGAUGCUGAGCCCAGGAUGGGGCAGCCACGGUCCGUGCGUUUCAACAGCCUUUUCAGUGAAGAUGAGUUUGGCGAGGACCCCCCCAGUGCAUCCCCUGCCAGUGGUGGCAGCAGCUGGAGUGACAGGGACCCCAGCCUGCACCCGCCUGCACCCGACGCCUUCCCUAGCAGCAUCCCCGGAACAUUCAGUGACAGCAUGGAGGGCACCGCUGCCACCAGCCUGCUGUCACCCACCAUCAGAGCAGGGUGGCUGGACAAGAACCCGCCACAGGGGUCCUACAUCUACCAGAAGCGCUGGGUGAAGCUUGACACUGACUACCUCCGCUAUUUUGACAGUGAAAAGGAUAUCUACUCCAAGCGGCUCAUUCCCGUCUCCUCCAUCUCCCGCGUCUCCAGCGUUGGGGACCAGAAAUUCGAGGUUGUCACCAACAACCGCAACUUUGUGUUCCGGGCUGAGAAUGAUGCGGACCGCAAUGAGUGGAUACGGACCCUGCAGCAGACUGCAGAGGAGCGGAAGAGCAAAGCUGGAGCCAGGACAUCCACGUCCUUAGCUGCUGACAGUGCCACUGAGCCGGCCGAUAAGAGUGGCUUCCUGGAGCUGCGGGGCUUUAAGCACAAGCUCUUUGUGGUGGUGGCUGGGGACAAAGUGUUCCUUUACAAGAAUGCGGAGGACUAUCGGCUGGGGAUUGGCAUCACCUACAUCGCGAUGAAUGUGGGGAACGUCAAGGAGGUGGAUCGCCGGGGCUUUGACCUCACCACACCAUACAGGAUCUUCAGCUUCUCUGCUGACUCGGAGCAGGAGAAGGAGGAGUGGGUGGAGGCCAUGCAGCAGUCCAUCACUGAGGCACUCUCCAACUCGGAGGUGGCCGAGAGGAUCUGGGCGGUGGAGUCCAACCGCUUCUGUGCCGACUGCGGCUCCCCCAAACCCGACUGGGCCUCCAUCAACCUCUGUGUUGUCAUCUGCAAGAGAUGUGCAGGGGAACACCGGGGGCUGGGCCCUGGCAUCACCAAAGUCCGGAGCUUGAAGAUGGACAGGAAGGUGUGGACUGAGGAGCUGAUCGAGCUCUUCCAGCAGUUUGGCAACGCAAUGGCCAACCAGUUUUGGGCUGCAAAUGUGCCUCCCAGCGAGGCCAUCAGCCCCACCAGUGGCAGCCAGGAGAGGAGGCGCUUCCUCAUCGCCAAAUACCGGGAGGGCAAGUACCGUCAGUACCACCCGCUCUUCGGCAACCAGGAGGAGCUGGACAGGGCUCUGUGUGCGGCCGUCACCACCAGUGACCUGGCAGAGACGCAGGCUCUGCUCUUCUGUGGGGCAUCGGUGACCUGUGACACCGGGGACCCCCAGUGCCCAACGCCCCUGGCCCUGGCUGAGAGAAGUGGGCAGCGGCUGCAGAUGGAGUUCCUGCUCCACAACAAAACCUCAGAGCCGCCACGCCUGGAGAUGGUGUGCAGUGAGGAGAAGCCCUACUCCGUGCACCUGCCCUCCAUUACCCACAAUGGCUUCCUCUACAAGACCCCCUCCAUGGUCAAGCCCAUCAGUGAGCGGAAGGGCCCAGAAGAGUUCAGCAGGCGGUGGUGCACGCUGCAGGACGGCGUGCUCAGCUACUAUGAGAAUGACCGUAACACUGUGCCCAACGGCGAGAUCAGGGUGGAGGAAAUUGUCUGCCUGGUGAACAACCCACUCCAUGCCCAUGGGAUCGAGAGCACGUUUGAGGUGUACACCGAGGCAGAUCGACUCUACCUCUUUGGGCUGGAGAGCCCUGACUCUGCUCGAGAGUGGAUCAAGUCUAUUGCCAAGUCCUUUGUCCACCCCUGUGCCGAGGAGCUGCUGGCACUAGACUUUGAGCGGCUUGGCCGACUGCAUUACAAAGGGGGUCUCACCCUGGAGCGUGCCCAGGAGGGCUGGUUUGCCCUGGUCGGCUCCACUCUCCAUGUCUGCUCUGAGGAUGGCCGUCGGCAGGAGCCUCUCCAGCUGCGCAAGCUGCAGGAGCUCUCCAUCCAGGGGGACCACGAGGUUCUGGUGUUGGUGGAGAGGCGGAGGACGCUGUACAUCCAAGGGGAGCGGAAGCUAGAUUUCCUGGGCUGGGUCCAUGCCAUCCAGAAGGCCGCGAGCAGCUCGGGGGACACCUUGUCGGAGCAGCAGCUGACGGAGUCGGACGUCCCGCUGCUGGUGGACCGCUGCAUCGACUACAUCACUCAGUGCGGGCUGACGUCUGAGGGAAUCUACCGCAAGAGCGGGCAGAACUCCAAGACCACCAGCCUUCUAGAGGUGCUGCAGCGGGAUGCACGCUGCGUCUGCCUGAAAGAGGGCGAGCACCAGGUGGACGAUGUUGCCAACACCCUCAAACGCUUCUUCCGUGACCUUGGGGAUGGGCUCUUCACUCGGCAGUGGGCCUCGCACUGGCUGUGGGCAACGGCGCUGGAGGAUGAGGGGGCAAAGGUUGGCGAGUACCGGCGGCUCCUGGCUGCCCUCCCUCCAGUGAACCGGGCCACCCUGAAGGCACUCAUCAAUCACCUCUUCAGGGUCCAGUGCUUCUCUGGGGAGAACCAGAUGAACACACACAACCUGGCCAUUGUCUUUGGGCCCACGCUCUUCCAGACGGAUGGGAAGGACUACAAGGCAGGACGUGUGGUGGAGGACCUCAUCAGUCACUACGUGGAGAUCUUUAAUGUCAAUGACCAAGAGAUGAAGAAGCAGCAGGAUGAAAUCACAGCCAUCAUGAAGAUGCGGGAGGCAUCAUCCAGCGGAACACAGCAAGCUGGGGACUUCAUCUGCACUGUCUAUCUGGAGGAGAAGAAGACAGAGACAGAGCAGCAUGUCAAGAUUCCAGCCACGAUGACGGCUGAGGAGCUCACCUUUGAGAUCCUGGACCGGCGGAAAAUUGUCAUGAAGGAGAAGGACUACUGGAGCUGCUUUGAAGUGAAUGAGAGGGAAGAGGCAGAGCGGCCCUUGCAUUACUCGGAGAAAGUUCUGCCCAUCCUGCACUGCCUGGGGACAGAGAGUUACCUGGUGGUGAAGAAGCAGAUGUCCAUGGAGAACAUGCUCAUCUACCUUGCCAGCAGAGUGGGUGACUGCAAGCAUGGCAUGAUGAAAUUCCGGGAGGAGAGGAACCUGCUGGGGCUUGGGCUGAGCACUGGCUUCCAUGAUCGCUACUUCAUCCUCAACCAGUCCUGGUUGCGCCUCUACAAAGAAGUGCGGAGCCUGAGGCAGCGGAGCCCCCCCUUGGAGAGCAGUCACAAGCCAGAGAAGGAGUGGCCUGUCCGAAACCUGAAGGUCUACCUGGGCGUUAAAAAGAAGCUUCGACCCCCGACGUGCUGGGGUUUUACAGUAUUCUACGAGAACGAGAAGCACGAGAAGCAGCAAUGGUACCUGUGCUGUGACACCCAGGCCGAUCUGCGGGAGUGGUUCGCCACCUUCCUUCAGGUGCAGAACGGGGGUGCCCUGUGGCCCUCGGAGCGUCCCAGGAUGCGGGUGGCACGGCAGCAGGAUGCCAGGUUGGGUAACAUCUCCCUCAUCCCGCUGCGGGGCAAUGAGAGCGAGAUGCGGAACAGUGUGGCUGCUUUUGCUACUGACCCUCUAACUUGAUGUGCAGACACGGAGGAGGAGGCUGAGGAUGAAAAGUGAUCUGUCUGCCCUUUGUCCCCAGCUUCUGCGGAACGUCUGAGCUGGAAAACUGACAUGCCAGUUCAUCUCCAAGUGGGGCAGCCCUCGGGGUCUUGUGCCAGCCCCCUGCUCCGGCACCUGCCAGGGUCCUGUUGCCUCCAGAGCCUCCACUGGGCCUUCUCAUCUUCCACUGUGGGGACCACAGGCAGCCAGGAGGGGAGAUGGCAGCGAGGCCACCCCCUAACCCCAGCAGAGCUGGGCUUGGGAGCCACUCCCAGACAGUCCACAGGAUGUCAGCCCCCUGACUCUGUGCCUCAGCUGCCUUUGGCCACCGCUUCUUUUCCCAGCUCUGGGAGGAGAAGCAGAGCCUGGCUGGGAGCUGCAGUCGAGGGCUUUUACGUUUCCUGUUCCAUCCCCUAUUUUUAAGUCUUUGUCCUCUAAAAUGAUAAGGCAGGUGGGAGCUGCCCUUCCUGUGGGAUGCUGCACUAGCCCUUCUUCUCAUGGGAUGUGUGCCUGGCCCCAGCAC